UCGGGAAUUUUGGGCAAUGGGCGAAAGCCUGACCCAGCAACGCCGCGUGAGGGAUGAAGUAUUUCGGUAUGUAACCCUCGAAAGAAUGGGAAGAAUAAAUGACGGUACCAUUUAUAAGCUCCGGCUAACUACGUGCCAGCAGCCGCGGUAAUACGUAGGGAGCAAGCGUUGUUCGGAUUUACUGGGCGUAAAGGGCGCGUAGGCGGCGCGGUAAGUCACUUGUGAAAUCUCUGAGCUUAACUCAGAACGGCCAAGUGAUACUGCUGUGCUAGAUUGCGGAAGAGGCAACCGGAAUUCUUGGUGUAGCGGUGAAAUGCGUAGAUAUCAAGAGGAACACCUGAGGCGAAGGCGGGUUGCUGGGCCGACACUGACGCUGAUGCGCGAAAGCCAGGGGAGCAAACG
This 402-nucleotide ribosomal RNA is filed under the name uncultured bacterium. RNAcentral describes it as "bacterial SSU rRNA". It matches the Rfam family "Bacterial small subunit ribosomal RNA", at positions 355 to 774 of the family's 1533-position model. The record is from RNAcentral.